AAUGAACGCUGGCGGCAUGCCUAACACAUGCAAGUCGAACGAAGCCUUCGGGCUUAGUGGCGCACGGGUGCGUAACGCGUGGGAAUCUGCCCUUGGGUUCGGAAUAACAGUGGGAAACUACUGCUAAUACCGAAUGAUGUCGUAAGACCAAAGAUUUAUCGCCCAGGGAUGAGCCCGCGUAGGAUUAGCUAGUUGGUGUGGUAAAAGCGCACCAAGGCGACGAUCCUUAGCGGUCUGAGAGGAUGAUCAGCCACACUGGGACUGAGACACGGCCCAGACUCCUACGGGAGGCAGCAGUGGGGAAUAUUGGACAAUGGGCGAAAGCCUGAUCCAGCAAUGCCGCGUGAGUGAUGAAGGCCUUAGGGUUGUAAAGCUCUUUUACCCGGGAUGAUAAUGACAGUACCGGGAGAAUAAGCUCCGGCUAACUCCGUGCCAGCCGCCGCGGUAAC
Molecule: ribosomal RNA, 449 nt
Filed under: uncultured bacterium
Lineage: Bacteria
Description: bacterial SSU rRNA
Rfam family: Bacterial small subunit ribosomal RNA
Source: RNAcentral